Molecule: long non-coding RNA, 1517 nt
Filed under: Heterocephalus glaber (naked mole-rat)
Lineage: Eukaryota; Metazoa; Chordata; Mammalia; Rodentia; Bathyergidae
Description: lncRNA (ENSHGLG00100044766.1)
Source: RNAcentral
GUAAGUAACUGAUGUGGGGUAAAAUGUCCGUAAGUGAAACAGGCCCUUCCCACCACUCUGCCAGGCCAGACCCCGCCCCCAGCAGUCUGAUUGGCUAGCUCGACGCCGGUCGCCCCUCCAUUGGAUGAGUCGCCUGUCCAGGAAGGAGCCGAUUCCGCCCUGUGAGAGAGGGCUGAACCUCACCAGUCCUUUUGUGGAAUGUUUACACUAGAGACUGGAGCUCAGAGUUCCAAGGGCCAGAACAGGAGGGGUGCGCGGCGCAGCAGCGAGACUCGAGACCCUGGGAUUAGCAGGGGAAAGGCAGUAGUAGCAUUGCCAAUCCCGAAGGGCUCCCGUAGCAAAACAAUGAACGAGAGCCUCAUUCUUCCCACCCAGUCAUGUUUAAACUUAGGCGUGCUGCCUUCCCAUAAACACCAGUAUCUGGAGCGACCACAGCUUUCAGCAAGCAGAAUACAGAACUCAGGUUUAUAGAGCCCGAAGCUGAGAAGUAACCACAGGGGUUGCCAGCCUGCCGCUAGGGGAAGGCUGCACGCCUCUUGCUCCCUAAACCUGAAGGCUCAGGAGGGCGGGGAUCACCAACAGGGCGGCCCCUAGAAUCCGCUGCCCUGCAAGCCUCCAGGAAGCAGCGGGGAGGAGAAAGGCAUUUACGAUUUCCCGAGCAGAUCGGGAAGCAUUCUCGGGCUGCAGGAACUGAGAGCCAGAGGCAAAAAUCGCAAGAGACCACGCAGAAACGAGCUCUCUCGAAGAGAGCAUGAAAACUCCCGAGUUAGGGUCAAAACACAAGAACGAGUGUGCACAGGCGAGCGCCUGUAAUCUCAGCUCCUGAAGAGGUUGAGGCGGGAAGAUUCCUGGCGCCCAGGGGUUCUGGGCCAACUGGGCAUCAUAGCGAGACUUUUUUUUUUUUAAAAAAGAACGGCUGUUCUCAGCCUCCUCCGCCAAAGUGUGUUGGUGGCAGUCCCUAGGCAUUCUCUGGGUAGCGAGAAACGCCACGAACACAUACGGUGCUUGCGAUAACUAGUUGCUUUUAGUUUUUCACUAAACGGGACUAGGGUCCAUCCUGGCCUUGCUUUGGAGGCGCUCUCGCAGCGCCAGAAGGGGCGGGCCCAGUGUUCCCGCUUUUUCCUGCAAAAAGGAUCCUUCCAGACCUAGGUCCGCCACGGUCCUCCCCAGAUGAUCCAGCGGAGACGGCCAGAAACUAACGCUGGCAACAGGUGGCUCUACUCCAGGGAUGGCCUCGAGCCGCGUGGCUAGGGCAGCGAGUUGCGCACUCUAUGAGUGGCCGGCAGGCGGAGCUCGGGGAAAAUACCACCCAACCUACAUCCGAGAAGGGAAAACGGGAGUCUCGCCCAACCAGUGGAAGACAAGAGGAGGCGGAGCCUCCGGGGAGCCCGAGGUGGGUGGAGAGGAAGUGGCCCCGCCCUCUGGUCCCCUUCGGGCCGCUGGCACAAGCCGCCGGCGGAGCAGAUAGUAAACAGUUUGGGCUGGCGCGGAGGCCGGUGGGCGCUUGAAGAAUUGGC